RNAcentral lists this ribosomal RNA (820 nucleotides) under uncultured Bacteroidota bacterium. Its description in RNAcentral is "bacterial SSU rRNA". It matches the Rfam family "Bacterial small subunit ribosomal RNA", at positions 73 to 896 of the family's 1533-position model. The record is from RNAcentral. Lineage: Bacteria; Pseudomonadati; Bacteroidota.
UCUGUAGCUAUACAGAUGGCGCACGGCGCACGGGUGCGUAACACGUGGGUAAUCUGCCCUUCGAUGGGGAAUAACUCGCCGAAAGGCGAGCUAAUUCCGCAUAACAUUCCUUGAACCUCGGUUUGGGGACUCAAAGCCGUAAGGCGUCGGAGGAGGAACCCGCGCACGAUUAGCUAGUUGGUAGGGUAACGGCCUACCAAGGCUUUGAUCGUUAGCUGGUCUGAGAGGAUGGCCAGCCACACUGGAACUGAGACACGGUCCAGACUCCUACGGGAGGCAGCAGUGGGGAAUCUUGCACAAUGGGCGAAAGCCUGAUGCAGCGACGCCGCGUGGGGGAUGAAGCUUUUCGGAGUGUAAACCCCUUUCGACCCGGACGAAUGCCCCGCAAGGGGACUGACGGUACGGGUAUAAGAAGCCCCGGCUAACUACGUGCCAGCAGCCGCGGUAAGACGUGGGGGGCCAGCGUUGCUCGGAAUUACUGGGUGUAAAGGGUUCGUAGGCGGUGUAGCAAGUCGGGAGUGAAAUCUCUGGGCUCAACCCAGAGACUGCUUCCGAAACUGCUGUGCUUGAGUGUGGGAGAGGCGCGUGGAAUUGCAGGUGUAGCGGUGAAAUGCGUAGAUAUCUGCAGGAACACCCGUGGCGAAAGCGGCGCGCUGGACCACUACUGACGCUGAGGAACGAAAGCUAGGGGAGCAAACAGGAUUAGAUACCCUGGUAGUCCUAGCCCUAAACGAUCAGGACUUGGGGUGCCGCACGUUCGUGCGUCGUCCCGGAGCUAACGCGUUAAGUCCUGCACCUGGGGAGUACGGUCGCAAGACUG